CCUACGGGCGGCUGCAGUGGGGAAUAUUGCGCAAUGGAGGAAACUCUGACGCAGCAACGCCGCGUGAAGGAUGACGGCCCUUUGGGUUGUAAACUUCUGUAGCAGGGGAAUAGUACUCGAUUAUGUCGAGGGAGAAGGUACCCUGAAAGUAAGCCACGGCUAACUACGUGCCAGCAGCCGCGGUAAUACGUAGGUGGCAAGCGUUGUCCGGAUUUACUGGGUGUAAAGGGUGCGCAGGCGGAUUUGUAAGUCAGAAGUGAAAUCUCACGGCUCAACCGUGAAAUUGCUUUUGAUACUGCUUAUCUUGAGUUUGGAAGAGGUUGAUGGAAUUUGUGGUGUAGCAGUGAAAUGCGUAGAUAUCACAAAGAACACCAGUGGCGAAGGCGGUCAACUGGUCCAAAACUGACGCUCAUGCACGAAAGCGUGGGGAGCAAACAGGCUUAGAUACCCUUGUAGUC
This 458-nucleotide ribosomal RNA is filed under the name uncultured bacterium. Its description in RNAcentral is "bacterial SSU rRNA". It matches the Rfam family "Bacterial small subunit ribosomal RNA", at positions 338 to 795 of the family's 1533-position model. The record is from RNAcentral.